CGUGAAAUUGUCGAAAGGGAAGCGCUUGAAGUCAGCCAUGCUGCUUGAGACUCAGCCUUGCUUUUGCUUGGUGUAUUUCUCGGUAGCAAGCCAGCAUUGGUUCGAGUCGUCGGAGAAGGGUAUGAGAAAUGUGGCAUCCUCGGAUGUGUUAUAGACUUGUACUGGAUACGACGAUUUGGAUCAAGGAACGCAGUGUGCCUCUGGCGGGUCUU
Molecule: ribosomal RNA, 212 nt
Filed under: Malassezia pachydermatis
Lineage: Eukaryota; Fungi; Basidiomycota; Malasseziomycetes; Malasseziales; Malasseziaceae
Description: partial large subunit ribosomal RNA
Source: RNAcentral